This 253-nucleotide ribosomal RNA is filed under the name uncultured bacterium. RNAcentral describes it as "partial 16S ribosomal RNA". It matches the Rfam family "Bacterial small subunit ribosomal RNA", at positions 524 to 776 of the family's 1533-position model. The record is from RNAcentral.
UACGAAGGGGGCUAGCGUUGCUCGGAAUCACUGGGCGUAAAGCGCACGUAGGCGGACUCUUAAGUCGGUGGUGAAAUCCUGGAGCUCAACUCCAGAACUGCCUUCGAUACUGGGAGUCUCGAGUUCGGGAGAGGUGAGUGGAACUGCGAGUGUAGAGGUGAAAUUCGUAGAUAUUCGCAAGAACACCAGUGGCGAAGGCGGCUCACUGGCCCGGUACUGACGCUGAGGUGCGAAAGCGUGGGGAGCAAACAGG